AAAAAAAGACACCCUGGGUUUCCGUGUCCAACGUUUGACUGUCCGUCUUAUAUGAAAUUUUUUUAUAAUUUCUAUUUUCAUUGUUAUUAGAUGAUAAAACAUGAUUAAUACUUUAUGUGUGACUUGUCUUUUUAAUUUUUUUUAUAAUUUUUUCAAAUAAGACGAACGAUCAAACGUUGGAUACGGAAAUCUAGGGUUUGUCUUUUA
Molecule: non-coding RNA, 207 nt
Organism: Oryza glumipatula
Lineage: Eukaryota; Viridiplantae; Streptophyta; Magnoliopsida; Poales; Poaceae
Source: Rfam